This 400-nucleotide ribosomal RNA is filed under the name uncultured bacterium. RNAcentral describes it as "bacterial SSU rRNA". It matches the Rfam family "Bacterial small subunit ribosomal RNA", at positions 355 to 772 of the family's 1533-position model. The record is from RNAcentral.
UAGGGAAUAUUGGACAAUGGGCGAAAGCCUGAUCCAGCCAUGCCGCGUGAGUGAAGAAGGCCUUAGGGUUGUAAAGCUCUUUUAGUGGGGAAGAUAAUGACUGUACCCACAGAAAAAGCCCCGGCUAACUUCGUGCCAGCAGCCGCGGUAAUACGAAGGGGGCUAGCGUUGUUCGGAAUCACUGGGCGUAAAGCGGGUGUAGGUGGAUGUUUAAGUGAGGGGUGAAAGCCCAAGGCUCAACCUUGGAACGGCCUCUCAUACUGAGCAUCUAGAGUCUGGAAGGGGGAAAUGGAAUUCCGAGUGUAGAGGUGAAAUUCGUAGAUAUUCGGAGGAACACCAGUGGCGAAGGCGAUUUCCUGGUACAUGACUGACACUCAGACCCGAAAGUGUGGGGAUCAAA